Molecule: ribosomal RNA, 1032 nt
Filed under: Acinetobacter nosocomialis
Lineage: Bacteria; Pseudomonadati; Pseudomonadota; Gammaproteobacteria; Moraxellales; Moraxellaceae
Description: bacterial SSU rRNA
Rfam family: Bacterial small subunit ribosomal RNA
Source: RNAcentral
GCACUUUAAGCGAGGAGGAGGCUACUUUAGAUAAUACCUAGAGAUAGUGGACGUUACUCGCAGAAUAAGCACCGGCUAACUCUGUGCCAGCAGCCGCGGUAAUACAGAGGGUGCAAGCGUUAAUCGGAUUUACUGGGCGUAAAGCGCGCGUAGGCGGCUAAUUAAGUCAAAUGUGAAAUCCCCGAGCUUAACUUGGGAAUUGCAUUCGAUACUGGUUAGCUAGAGUGUGGGAGAGGAUGGUAGAAUUCCAGGUGUAGCGGUGAAAUGCGUAGAGAUCUGGAGGAAUACCGAUGGCGAAGGCAGCCAUCUGGCCUAACACUGACGCUGAGGUGCGAAAGCAUGGGGAGCAAACAGGAUUAGAUACCCUGGUAGUCCAUGCCGUAAACGAUGUCUACUAGCCGUUGGGGCCUUUGAGGCUUUAGUGGCGCAGCUAACGCGAUAAGUAGACCGCCUGGGGAGUACGGUCGCAAGACUAAAACUCAAAUGAAUUGACGGGGGCCCGCACAAGCGGUGGAGCAUGUGGUUUAAUUCGAUGCAACGCGAAGAACCUUACCUGGCCUUGACAUAGUAAGAACUUUCCAGAGAUGGAUUGGUGCCUUCGGGAACUUACAUACAGGUGCUGCAUGGCUGUCGUCAGCUCGUGUCGUGAGAUGUUGGGUUAAGUCCCGCAACGAGCGCAACCCUUUUCCUUAUUUGCCAGCGAGUAAUGUCGGGAACUUUAAGGAUACUGCCAGUGACAAACUGGAGGAAGGCGGGGACGACGUCAAGUCAUCAUGGCCCUUACGGCCAGGGCUACACACGUGCUACAAUGGUCGGUACAAAGGGUUGCUACACAGCGAUGUGAUGCUAAUCUCAAAAAGCCGAUCGUAGUCCGGAUUGGAGUCUGCAACUCGACUCCAUGAAGUCGGAAUCGCUAGUAAUCGCGGAUCAGAAUGCCGCGGUGAAUACGUUCCCGGGCCUUGUACACACCGCCCGUCACACCAUGGGAGUUUGUUGCACCAGAAGUAGCUAGCCUAACUGCAAAGAGGGCGG